This 460-nucleotide ribosomal RNA is filed under the name uncultured bacterium. RNAcentral describes it as "partial 16S ribosomal RNA". It matches the Rfam family "Bacterial small subunit ribosomal RNA", at positions 338 to 795 of the family's 1533-position model. The record is from RNAcentral.
CCUACGGGUGGCAGCAGUGAGGAAUAUUGGUCAAUGGGCGUAAGCCUGAACCAGCCAAGUCGCGUGAGGGAUGAAGGUUCUAUGGAUUGUAAACCUCUUUUAUAAGGGAAUAAAGUGUGGCACGUGUCCUCUUUUGUAUGUACCUUAUGAAUAAGGAUCGGCUAACUCCGUGCCAGCAGCCGCGGUAAUACGGAGGAUCCGAGCGUUAUCCGGAUUUAUUGGGUUUAAAGGGUGCGUAGGCGGGCUUUUAAGUCAGCGGUGAAAGUCUGUGGCUCAACCGUAGAAUUGCCGUUGAAACUGGGGGGCUUGAGUAUGUUUGAGGCAGGCGGAAUGCGUGGUGUAGCGGUGAAAUGCUUAGAUAUCACGAAGAACUCCGAUUGCGAAGGCAGCUUACUAAACUGCCACUGACAUUGAUGCUCGAAAGUGUGGGUAUCAAACAGGAUUAGAUACCCGAGUAGUC